This 123-nucleotide ribosomal RNA is filed under the name uncultured bacterium. RNAcentral describes it as "partial 16S ribosomal RNA". It matches the Rfam family "Bacterial small subunit ribosomal RNA", at positions 1360 to 1482 of the family's 1533-position model. The record is from RNAcentral.
CGGUGAAUACGUUCCCGGACCUUGUACACACCGCCCGUCAAGCCAUGGAAGCCGGGGGUACCCAAAGCCAGUGUCCUAACCGUAAGGAGGGAGCUGUUUAAGGUAAAACCGGUGACUGGGGCU